This 23-nucleotide transfer RNA is filed under the name Darevskia rudis. RNAcentral describes it as "partial tRNA-Leu". Lineage: Eukaryota; Metazoa; Chordata; Lepidosauria; Squamata; Lacertidae. The record is from RNAcentral.
UACUUCUAUAGGAAAGUAGUAAU